ACAAAUGAAAAAAGAAAUUUUUAACAAACGUAUUUUUUAUCUUUCCUUUAUUCAAAUACUGUAAAUAAAACUGGCCUAAAGUGGAAUCUUUAGGGAAAGGGUGCAAUUUUGCGUUUGCAGUCUUUUGACUGAUAAAAGUAUAUCAUUUUAGCUAUAAUAGUGAAGUUUUAAACAUGACCAGAGGAAAUCAGAGAGAUCUUGCACGUGCAAAAGCUGCUAAGAAACAGCAAGAUCUGCAAAAACAAAAGAAGAGUUCAGAGAAGGGUGCCAACAAAGGAUUAACUUUAGAGGAACGCCGCCAUAGGGAUGCAGAGAUAAUGAGGCUAAAACAGGAAAAGAAAGGUGGUGGUGCUGAAGGCGGUGGUGAACAAGGUGCUACAGGAGGAAAGUAAAACAAUAGACAUUGUAAACAACCGAUGAUAUUUUUUUUUUUAUUAAUCAUUUGCAUUUUAUCAUUUUGUCAUAUUACUACGAUCGUGUCAUUUUCCAUGUUUCUUCAUAUCUUCUCUCUAAAUUAUAAGUUCAUACAACAUGAUUUAAUAAAGAUAUAUCAGCAGACAUGAAUCAAGAACGGUUUGACUUGAAUCAGCAUCAGCUCUGUGUCAUCUUGACAAUUGUGUGUACUGUUUAAUUAUCAAACCGAACAUACACUUAAAAAAAGUCAUCUACAUCAUAUUUUUGAGAUUAAGGGUUUGAAAUUGAAUGGAAUAAGGUUUUAUUAAUAAUUCAUACAUUCAUUAUAUUGCUUAAUCUUUUUAAGGGGGGCAUUUCUGUCUUUUGGACUAUAUAAUUUUAAAGCUACCCCUCUCAUUAUAUGGCAUAGUUUUGAACUGAUAGCUUAGAAAUGAUAUUUUUUAAAGUUAUGUCUAAAUAAUAAGAUCUGAUCACUAUGAAUAUGUAAUUUUGUUAAGAAUUUUUAAUUGGUGCAUUUAGUAAAUUCAUGUAUUUCAAUACUUUCGUUAUCACCAAAAACAUAGCUAUAUAUAUUUAUAGACUGUAGGUAAAAGUAUUACAUAAACUGUGUUUCUAAUAAGUUGAUACUUUGCAAUGGUUAAAUUGGACUGCCUUAUGUUAUAUGUUAAGGGUUUUUGUAAUACAUUUUAAAUUUACUUAUAAUCAUUGAUAAUUCAGAUUUAAUGUGUUUUUAUAUGUAUGAAUAAACAUUGUCAUUAUUA
Long non-coding RNA from Mytilus trossulus (common blue mussel), 1175 nucleotides. RefSeq lists it as uncharacterized. NCBI's taxonomy places the organism in Eukaryota, Metazoa, Mollusca, Bivalvia, Mytilida, Mytilidae. The transcript has 4 exons. The record is from RefSeq and is a predicted model, not a curated record.